Molecule: ribosomal RNA, 736 nt
Filed under: Escherichia coli
Lineage: Bacteria; Pseudomonadati; Pseudomonadota; Gammaproteobacteria; Enterobacterales; Enterobacteriaceae
Description: partial 23S ribosomal RNA
Rfam family: Bacterial large subunit ribosomal RNA
Source: RNAcentral
CCGGUAAACGGCGGCCGUAACUAUAACGGUCCUAAGGUAGCGAAAUUCCUUGUCGGGUAAGUUCCGACCUGCACGAAUGGCGUAAUGAUGGCCAGGCUGUCUCCACCCGAGACUCAGUGAAAUUGAACUCGCUGUGAAGAUGCAGUGUACCCGCGGCAAGACGGAAAGACCCCGUGAACCUUUACUAUAGCUUGACACUGAACAUUGAGCCUUGAUGUGUAGGAUAGGUGGGAGGCUUUGAAGUGUGGACGCCAGUCUGCAUGGAGCCGACCUUGAAAUACCACCCUUUAAUGUUUGAUGUUCUAACGUUGGCCCCUAAUCGGGGUUGCGGACAGUGUCUGGUGGGUAGUUUGACUGGGGCGGUCUCCUCCUAAAGAGUAACGGAGGAGCACGAAGGUUGGCUAAUCCUGGUCGGACAUCAGGAGGUUAGUGCAAUGGCAUAAGCCAGCUUGACUGCGAGCGUGACGGCGCGAGCAGGUGCGAAAGCAGGUCAUAGUGAUCCGGUGGUUCUGAAUGGAAGGGCCAUCGCUCAACGGAUAAAAGGUACUCCGGGGAUAACAGGCUGAUACCGCCCAAGAGUUCAUAUCGACGGCGGUGUUUGGCACCUCGAUGUCGGCUCAUCACAUCCUGGGGCUGAAGUAGGUCCCAAGGGUAUGGCUGUUCGCCAUUUAAAGUGGUACGCGAGCUGGGUUUAGAACGUCGUGAGACAGUUCGGUCCCUAUCUGCCGUGGGCGCU